This 253-nucleotide ribosomal RNA is filed under the name uncultured bacterium. RNAcentral's name for it is "partial 16S ribosomal RNA". It matches the Rfam family "Bacterial small subunit ribosomal RNA", at positions 524 to 776 of the family's 1533-position model. The record is from RNAcentral.
UACAGAGGUCUCAAGCGUUGUUCGGAUUCAUUGGGCGUAAAGGGUGCGUAGGUGGCGCUGUAAGUCAGGCGUGAAAGUCCUGGGCUCAACCUGGGAACUGCGCUUGAUACGGCAGAGCUAGAGGAUGGAAGAGGCUCGCGGAAUUCCCAGUGUAGAGGUGAAAUUCGUAGAUAUUGGGAAGAACACCGGUGGCGAAGGCGGCGAGCUGGUCCAUUACUGACGCUGAGGCGCGACAGCGUGGGGAGCAAACAGG